UACGUAGGGGGCUAGCGUUGUCCGGAUUUAUUGGGCGUAAAGAGCUCGUAGGCGGUUUGGCAAGUCGGGUGUGAAAUUUCGAGGCUCAACCUCGAAACGCCACUCGAUACUGCUGUGACUGGAGUCCGGUAGAGGAGUGCGGAAUUCCUGGUGUAGCGGUGAAAUGCGCAGAUAUCAGGAGGAACACCAACGGCGGAGGCAGCACUCUGGGCCGGUACUGACGCUGAGGAGCGAAAGCGUGGGGAGCAAACAGG
RNAcentral lists this ribosomal RNA (254 nucleotides) under uncultured bacterium. RNAcentral describes it as "partial 16S ribosomal RNA". It matches the Rfam family "Bacterial small subunit ribosomal RNA", at positions 524 to 776 of the family's 1533-position model. The record is from RNAcentral.